Molecule: regulatory RNA element, 115 nt
Organism: Clostridium sp. FS41
Lineage: Bacteria; Bacillati; Bacillota; Clostridia; Eubacteriales; Clostridiaceae
Rfam family: FMN riboswitch aptamer (RFN element)
About the family: The RFN element is a highly conserved domain that is found frequently in the 5'-untranslated regions of prokaryotic mRNAs that encode for flavin mononucleotide (FMN) biosynthesis and transport proteins. This element is a metabolite-dependent riboswitch that directly binds FMN in the absence of proteins.
Source: Rfam
CAAUAUCUUCAGGGCAGGGUGCAAUUCCCUACCGGUGGUACAGCCCACGAGCCGCGAGGCAUGAUUCGGUGAAACUCCGAAGCCGACAGUAAAGUCUGGAUGAAAGAAGAUAGGA